This 460-nucleotide ribosomal RNA is filed under the name uncultured bacterium. Its description in RNAcentral is "partial 16S ribosomal RNA". It matches the Rfam family "Bacterial small subunit ribosomal RNA", at positions 338 to 795 of the family's 1533-position model. The record is from RNAcentral.
CCUACGGGAGGCAGCAGUGAGGAAUAUUGGUCAAUGGACGCAAGUCUGAACCAGCCAUGCCGCGUGCAGGAUGACGGCUCUAUGAGUUGUAAACUGCUUUUGUACGAGGGUAAACCCCGAUACGUGUAUCGGGUUGAAAGUAUCGUACGAAUAAGGAUCGGCUAACUCCGUGCCAGCAGCCGCGGUAAUACGGAGGAGCCGGGCGUUAUCCGGAUUUAUUGGGUUUAAAGGGUGCGUAGGCGGUUUGAUAAGUUAGAGGUGAAAUGUCGGGGCUCAACCCCGAAACUGCCUCUAAUACUGUUGGACUAGAGAAUAGUUGCGGUAGGCGGAAUGUAUGGUGUAGCGGUGAAAGGCGUAGAGAUCAUACAGAACACCGAUUGCGAAGGCAGCUUACCAAACUAUAUCUGACGUUGAGGCACGAAAGCGUGGGUAGCAAACAGGAUUAGAUACCCCAGUAGUC